GUGAGCUCUGAGUGUUUACCAACACCGUUACAGUGGGACUGCAGGGAUGUGGCAGGGUGCUGUGAGGACAGGCUGGGAAGAGCAGGCGUGUGUGGGCUUGAGCACAAAAUGGUCCUGGGGCAGAGGCAGGAAUGACGGCUGGCCCUGAGGCCAACAUCUUGAAAGAUUGUCCACUCCAGAAACGAAAUUCUUUUUUUUUUUUUUUUUUUUUUGGUACCGGGGAUUGAACUCGGGACCUUGUGCUUGCGAGGCAGGCGCCAGCACCACUGAGAAAUUCUUUUUAUCAGGCGUAAUAAUCCAUACAGGGAAGAUGACAGUAAUUGGGAGAAGCCACUAGCACUGGCCACAGCUUUAAGAGGUGCGCAGCUUCUGACCGGGGGGAACAGGUCGGUGGUGGAGUUGAGCAGACCCCAUGCCAGCUGCCCUGAAGCCCCGCAGCCUGUCCAUUUGUUUGGGGACCCACCUUGGGCUGCCA
Molecule: long non-coding RNA, 475 nt
Filed under: Heterocephalus glaber (naked mole-rat)
Lineage: Eukaryota; Metazoa; Chordata; Mammalia; Rodentia; Bathyergidae
Description: lncRNA (ENSHGLG00100038272.1)
Source: RNAcentral